UACACAUGCAGUCGACGGCAGCGCGGGGCAACCUGGCGGCGAGUGGCGAACGGGUGAGUAAUAUAUCGGAACGUACCCUGGAGUGGGGGAUAACGUAGCGAAAGUUACGCUAAUACCGCAUACGAUCUAAGGAUGAAAGUGGGGGAUUCGCAAGAACCUCAUGCUCCUGGAGCGGCCGAUAUCUGAUUAGCUAGUUGGUAGGGUAAAAGCCUACCAAGGCAUCGAUCAGUAGCUGGUCUGAGAGGACGACCAGCCACACUGGAACUGAGACACGGUCCAGACUCCUACGGGAGGCAGCAGUGGGGAAUUUUGGACAAUGGGCGCAAGCCUGAUCCAGCAAUGCCGCGUGAGUGAAGAAGGCCUUCGGGUUGUAAAGCUCUUUUGUCAGGGAAGAAACGGNGUUUUCUAAUACAGAGNNCUAAUGACGGUACCUGAAGAAUAAGCACCGGCUAACUACGUGCCAGCAGCCGCGGUAAUACGUAGGGUGCAAGCGUUAAUCGGAAUUACUGGGCGUAAAGCGUGCGCAGGCGGUUUUGUAAGACUGUCGUGAAAUCCCCGGGCUCAACCUGGGAAUGGCGAUGGUGACUGCAAGGCUAGAGUUUGGCAGAGGGGGGUAGAAUUCCACGUGUAGCAGUGAAAUGCGUAGAUAUGUGGAGGAACACCGAUGGCGAAGGCAGCCCCCUGGGUCAAAACUGACGCUCAUGCACGAAAGCGUGGGGAGCAAACAGGAUUAGAUACC
RNAcentral lists this ribosomal RNA (739 nucleotides) under bacterium 111_oclvp16. RNAcentral describes it as "bacterial SSU rRNA". It matches the Rfam family "Bacterial small subunit ribosomal RNA", at positions 50 to 786 of the family's 1533-position model. The record is from RNAcentral. RNAcentral also lists the same sequence under 1 other name.